Molecule: ribosomal RNA, 256 nt
Filed under: uncultured bacterium
Lineage: Bacteria
Description: partial 16S ribosomal RNA
Rfam family: Bacterial small subunit ribosomal RNA
Source: RNAcentral
UACGGAGGGUGCAAGCGUUUAUCCGGAUUCACUGGGUUUAAAGGGUGCGUAGGUGGGGAGGUAAGUCAGUGGUGAAAUCCCCCGAGCUUAACUUGGGAACUGCCAUUGAUACUAUCUUUCUUGAAUACCUUGGAGGUGAGCGGAAUAUGUCAUGUAGCGGUGAAAUGCUUAGAUAUGACAUAGAACACCAAUUGCGAAGGCAGCUCACUACACGGUCAUUGACACUGAGGCACGAAAAGCGUGGGGAUCAAACAGG